This is a long non-coding RNA of Oryzias melastigma (Indian medaka), 805 nucleotides long. RefSeq lists it as uncharacterized. The transcript has 2 exons. The record is from RefSeq and is a predicted model, not a curated record. Lineage: Eukaryota; Metazoa; Chordata; Actinopteri; Beloniformes; Adrianichthyidae.
GUUUAAUAUUAUCCAUAGGAUUUUGGGGAAAGCAGAGCUGCAGGUGCUGCAAGCACUGAGGCAUGAAUACUGACAUUUGUUCUUGAUUUGUGAACAAUCUAAGAGGAGGAAACCAAUACAACCAGGAUUGCAUUAGCACAGAUGAAGAUAAAAAUCCCAAUGCCCAUGGUGAAAGGUCCGAGCAUCUUCAUCCUCUCAGAGUGAAGAUGUUGUUGUAGGAAAUGCAUCAGGGGGCCCCCGGUCUGCUUAGAAGGCGUUCCUAAAAAAUCACAAAGAAAUCCAAGAUGGGCAAAGGAGCCUUUCACAGACUGCAGUCAUCCCGUUCUGCAGCUACCUUGCACAUUAUGGCUUGUGUUGGCCAAAUUUUUCUCAAGUUUGACGCCAUUUCCUCCCCCGGCGGGUGUGGUUUUUUUGUGUGGCCAGUAACCCAGCGUGGCCAUCCCGAUCCCUAUUCCCAGGAUGAUGAGUCCCAGGAAGAGGAAGAAGCCAGAGGCCGAGUAGAGGCGGAGCCUGCCCCGCACCACCACCACAUCAGUGCGCCGCUUCCUCUUUCUAAAUAAAAAAAAAACUCGAACUGAUAACAAAGCCCGAUUUUUCAAACAGAGAAAGCAGAGGCAGCAAAUGGCAAAAUAUUCUAAAAUUUCUCAAAAUCAAUAUCUCACCUAGGCGCAGGAUCAGUAGAGGGGUUUCCUAAGCCCGGCGAACCAGGUGGUACGGGUCGAUGCUGAGAGCGGGCGGAGUCCUGGCGCUUUAGCUUGGCCAAGCCUGUGAGCACACCUGCUGCUGCUGCUGUCAUACUUCACCU